This 468-nucleotide ribosomal RNA is filed under the name uncultured bacterium. RNAcentral's name for it is "partial 16S ribosomal RNA". It matches the Rfam family "Bacterial small subunit ribosomal RNA", at positions 28 to 507 of the family's 1533-position model. The record is from RNAcentral.
GACGAACGCUGGCGGCGUGCUUAACACAUGCAAGUCGAACGGAAAGGCCCUGCUUUUGUGGGGUGCUCGAGUGGCGAACGGGUGAGUAACACGUGAGUAACCUGCCCUUGACUUUGGGAUAACUUCAGGAAACUGGGGCUAAUACCGGAUAGGAGCUCCUGCUGCAUGGUGGGGGUUGGAAAGUUUCGGCGGUUGGGGAUGGACUCGCGGCUUAUCAGCUUGUUGGUGGGGUAGUGGCUUACCAAGGCUUUGACGGGUAGCCGGCCUGAGAGGGUGACCGGGCACAGUGGGACUAAGUUACGGCCCAGACUCCUUCGGGCGGCAGCAGUGGGGAGUAUGGCACAACGGGCGGAGGCCUGAUGCAGCAACGCCGCGUGCGGGAUGACGGCCUUCGGGUUGUAAACCGAUUUCGCCUGUGACGAAGCGGGAGUGCCGGUAAUGGGUAAAGAAGCACCGCCUAACCACGUG